GAUGAAGAACUUAGCGAAAUGCGAUAAGUAAUGUGAAUUGCAGAAUUCAGUGAAUCAUCGAAUCUUUGAACGCACAUUGCGCCCUCUGGUAUUCCGGGGGGCAUGCCUGUUCGAGCGUCAUUAUAACCACUCAAGCUCUCGCUUGGUAUUGGGGCUCGCGGUUCCGCGGCCCCUAAAAUCAGUGGCGGUGCCUGUCGGCUCUACGCGUAGUAAUACUCCUCGCGAUUGAGUCCGGUAGGUCUACUUGCCAGCAACCCCCAAUUUUUACAGGUUGACCUCGGAUCAGGUAGGGAUACCCGCUGAACUUAAGCAUAUCAAUAAGCGGAGGA
RNAcentral lists this unclassified non-coding RNA (329 nucleotides) under soil metagenome. RNAcentral's name for it is "partial contains 5.8S ribosomal RNA, internal transcribed spacer 2, and large subunit ribosomal RNA". The stretch from base 1 to 120 matches the Rfam family "5.8S ribosomal RNA", at positions 35 to 154 of the family's 154-position model. The record is from RNAcentral.